RNAcentral lists this ribosomal RNA (254 nucleotides) under uncultured bacterium. RNAcentral describes it as "partial 16S ribosomal RNA". It matches the Rfam family "Bacterial small subunit ribosomal RNA", at positions 524 to 776 of the family's 1533-position model. The record is from RNAcentral.
UACGAAGGGUGCAAGCGUUACUCGGAAUUACUGGGCGUAAAGCGUGCGUAGGUGGUGAGUUAAGUCUGUCGUGAAAGCCCCGGGCUCAACCUGGGGAAUGGCGAUGGAUACUGGCUCGCUAGAGUGCGGUAGAGGAGAGUGGAAUUCCCGGUGUAGCAGUGAAAUGCGUAGAGAUCGGGAGGAACAUCAGUUGCGAAGGCGGCUCUCUGGACCAGCACUGACGCUGAGGCGCGAAAGCGUGGGGAGCAAACGGG